CGUCCUUGUCGCCGAAAUGGUUGUUGCCGAGCCCGCCGGGAAACAUGAGGAGGGUGGCCGACGGUGACCCGGUGGGAGCGAGCAGCAGCACGCGCACGGUGACGCCGGAUCGGGUUGGGACCGUCAGGAUUUCCUGCCCCGGGGCCGAUGACGGGAGCGCCACGACCAGCAGACCGGCCAGAGAGAGCGCCCGCGCGAACCGGCUGCGCAUGGGCCGAGUAUAGGCCGACUCGCUAUCGCGCGGCGGUGCAUCCGGCUGAUAUAAUGGCCUGUGCUAUACUCCGCGCGGUUUCCCACCUUCUCAGGAGGCGCGACGUGA
Molecule: unclassified non-coding RNA, 319 nt
Filed under: uncultured bacterium
Lineage: Bacteria
Description: contains 16S-23S intergenic spacer region
Source: RNAcentral